RNAcentral lists this long non-coding RNA (739 nucleotides) under Capsicum annuum. RNAcentral describes it as "long non-coding RNA (CANN_LNC012992)". The record is from RNAcentral. Lineage: Eukaryota; Viridiplantae; Streptophyta; Magnoliopsida; Solanales; Solanaceae.
UUGCAUAUUCUGAACUCUUUCAUUUCCUUGGUAUUCCUUUUCGAGAUACUCCAAAAUUUCUGCAGCGGACUCCAUUUGCAUAAUUCUGAUCAGAAUUGAAAGAGAUAACGCAGAGAAAAGGCAUACUUUGGCUUUUCGUGUCUUUCUCUCCUUGUGAUGUUUCAUCUGAUUCACUCUUGGAUUAGCUCCAAGAGGAGUUACUUCAUAGUCCUCUUCUACUGCUUUCCAUAGAUCCAGUGCUUCAAGAUGAACCGUCAUUCUAAUUGUCCAAGCUUGAUAAUUCUCACCAUUGAAGACAGGUGGAGUUAGAAAGCUUGCCGAAAUUUGAUUCUAAGAUUGAGACUGUCAAGAAAAGAAUCGAGUUCUUGAAAGGGAAUUCCGUUAGGGAUUGUGUUGGUGAUGGAGAAAGAAGAGUUUAGUGCAAUCUUGAGCGUCAUUCUUAGAAGGGGUACCAGUAGUUCUGCUAGUGUUGGAUGUUCAAGAAAUUGGUCCAAUCCAAUUGAACAGCCAUGUACACUGACUGGAUUAUUAUUGGGGAUGGAGAAAUUGAUAUGUCUGGUGAGUGCAAUGCUACUAUUAAUUACGUUCAACAAGAAGUUGAGCAGAAAGAGCGUCCAGAGGCUUAUGAAUACAUUCUGCUGAUUUUAUUUUGUUGCUGCAACAAGAUUUUUGACUUUUGCUCCAAGUAAAUGGGCAUAUACACUACAUUCUGACAAUGUAUGAAGUUACUACACUGAGC